Molecule: ribosomal RNA, 254 nt
Filed under: uncultured bacterium
Lineage: Bacteria
Description: partial 16S ribosomal RNA
Rfam family: Bacterial small subunit ribosomal RNA
Source: RNAcentral
CACGUAGGGCGCAAGCGUUGUCCGGAAUUAUUGGGCGUAAAGAGCUCGUAGGCGGUCUGUUGCGUCCGCUGUGAAAACUCGGGGCUUAACCCCGAGCCUGCAGUGGAUACGGGCAGACUAGAGGUAGGUAGGGGAGAAUGGAAUUCCCGGUGUAGCGGUGAAAUGCGCAGAUAUCGGGAGGAACACCGGUGGCGAAGGCGGUUCUCUGGGCCGUUACCUGACGCUGAGGAGCGAAAGCGUGGGGAGCGAACAGG